Molecule: antisense RNA, 69 nt
Filed under: Streptomyces bingchenggensis BCW-1
Lineage: Bacteria; Bacillati; Actinomycetota; Actinomycetes; Kitasatosporales; Streptomycetaceae
Description: ASpks TB sRNA
Rfam family: ASpks TB sRNA
Source: Rfam by way of RNAcentral
CUUGACCGAGCCGAGCAGCAGCGGGCGUUCGCGGCCCUGCCCGUAAGUGGCAAGCAACGCCUGGGCCUC